This 68-nucleotide transfer RNA is filed under the name Tettigades dumfriesi. Its description in RNAcentral is "tRNA-Met". The record is from RNAcentral. Lineage: Eukaryota; Metazoa; Arthropoda; Insecta; Hemiptera; Cicadidae.
CAAAAGAUAAGCUAAGAAUUAAGCUAAUGGGUUCAUACCUCAUUUAUGGAUAGUUAUUCCUCUUUUUA